Molecule: ribosomal RNA, 372 nt
Filed under: uncultured organism
Description: partial 16S ribosomal RNA
Rfam family: Bacterial small subunit ribosomal RNA
Source: RNAcentral
GUAGGUGGCAAGCGUUGUCCGGAAUUAUUGGGCGUAAAGCGCGCGCAGGGCGGUCCUUUAAGUCUGAUGUGAAAGCCCACGGCUCAACCGUGGAGGGUCAUUGGAAACUGGGGGACUUGAGUACAGAAGAGGAAAGCGGAAUUCCAAGUGUAGCGGUGAAAUGCGUAGAGAUUUGGAGGAACACCAGUGGCGAAGGCGGCUUUCUGGCCUGUAACUGACGCUGAGGCGCGAAGGCGUGGGGAGCAAACAGGAUUAGAUACCCUGGUAGUCCACGCCGUAAACGAUGAGUGCUAAGUGUUAGGGGGUUUCCGCCCCUUAGUGCUGCAGCUAACGCAUUAAGCACUCCGCCUGGGGAGUACGGCCGCAAGGCUG